GAUGAACGCUAGCGGCAGGCUUAAUACAUGCAAGUCGUGGGGCAGCAUGAGUAGCAAUACUUGAUGGCGACCGGCAAACGGGUGAGGAACACGUACACAACCUUCCUUCAAGCGGGGAAUAGCCCAGAGAAAUUUGGAUUAAUACCCCAUAAUAUAUUUGAUAAGGCAUCUUAUUAAUAUUAAAGCUUCGGCACUUGAUGAUGGGUGUGCGGCUGAUUAGAUAGUUGGCGGGUAACGGCCCACCAAGUCUACGAUCAGUAGCUGAUGUGAGAGCAUGAUCAGCCACACGGGCACUGAGACACGGGCCCGACUCCUACGGGAGGCAGCAGUAAGGAAUAUUGGACAAUGGACGAAAGUCUGAUCCAGCCAUGCCGCGUGAAGGAUUAAGGUCCUCUGGAUUGUAAACUUCUUUAUAUGGGACGAAAAAGGGCAUUCUGUUCACUUGACGGUACCAUAUGAAUAAGCACCGGCUAACUCCGUGCCAGCA
RNAcentral lists this ribosomal RNA (487 nucleotides) under uncultured bacterium. RNAcentral's name for it is "bacterial SSU rRNA". It matches the Rfam family "Bacterial small subunit ribosomal RNA", at positions 28 to 513 of the family's 1533-position model. The record is from RNAcentral.